GACGAACGCUGGCGGCGUGCUUAACACAUGCAAGUCGAGCGGUAAGGCCCUUUCGGGGGUACACGAGCGGCGAACGGGUGAGUAACACGUGGGUGACCUGCCCUCAGCUCUGGGAUAAGCCUGGGAAACGUGGGUCUAAUACCGGAUAUGACUCCAUGACGCAUGUUGUGGGGUGGAAAGCCUUGUGCGGCUGAGGAUGGGCCCGCGGCCUAUCAGCUUGUUGGUGGGGUGANGGCCUACCAAGGCGACGACGGGUAGCCGGCCUGAGAGGGCGACCGGCCACACUGGGACUGAGACACGGCCCAGACUCCUACGGGAGGCAGCAGUGGGGAAUCUUGCGCAAUGGGCGAAAGCCUGACGCAGCGACGCCGCGUGAGGGAUGACGGCCU
RNAcentral lists this ribosomal RNA (389 nucleotides) under uncultured bacterium. Its description in RNAcentral is "bacterial SSU rRNA". It matches the Rfam family "Bacterial small subunit ribosomal RNA", at positions 28 to 417 of the family's 1533-position model. The record is from RNAcentral.